RNAcentral lists this long non-coding RNA (688 nucleotides) under Gossypium raimondii (Peruvian cotton). RNAcentral's name for it is "long non-coding RNA (GRAI_LNC010820)". The record is from RNAcentral. Lineage: Eukaryota; Viridiplantae; Streptophyta; Magnoliopsida; Malvales; Malvaceae.
CCCUCUAAAAAUGAUAAAAAUUUAAUUUAAUCUUUUAAAAUUUAUAAAAAUAUAAACUAUUAAAAUAAUAAAAUUACAUAUUUACUAUCAUAAAAACAUAUAAUUUAAUUUCCUUCCUAACAUAAUUUUCUGACUUCUGUCUUGCUCUGCUUCUAUCGGUGGAGUUGCAAAUCUGUCCCACCAUCAUUUAGUUAUUUGCAAUAGGGAAUAUAUAGUCUAAAAACCUAGCAAAGAACCAGCAGCAGACGCUAGCGACGAAGUCGGGGCUGGGACAGUCGGUCUAGGUAAAUAGCUGAUGAAGGGUUGGGGCAGACGAGAGGCUGAGACGGUAGCACACGAAUCAACCGAAGCGCGCAGUGGUGAUAUAGGAACAGGGCAGCGACCAAAUCAGGGAAAAGAAAGAUGGAAAUAGAGAAAAGGGAAAAUUAUGGGUGAAGGACCUUCUAUUUUUAGUAGGAUUUUUUGUGUUUUCCUUUUUCAUGCAAAUUAGUUCCCUAUUUAUAAUGAAAAACACUUAAGGAAAUAAAAAUUGAAAAAUUAAUCUAACUUAAUGAUUUAACCAAUCUACAAAAUAAAAAUUGAAAACUAAAUAAAAACCUAUUUAUCUAAAAUUAAUCUAAAUUAUCGUAAGAAAAUAAUAUAUAUGUAUAUAAAAAAAUACUAAUUCAUCUAACUCCUAGUUAUUAAU